AUUCUCGCCCGUCCACUCCCAGCGUAAAGAGGAUUCCGCGACUCGGAGACCGCAAUCUACCCGCCAGUCUCCAUAACGUAGGCCAGAGCAGCUGGGCUAAAUAAAACAGAGCCGGGGCUCUCCCUUCCCAGAGGCCUACAUCGCCCACUGGUCCGGGCUCGGAGCUCAGCAGAACCAGAGUAGGAGCGGUUGUUGCCGGCACGGAGGAGGGAGAGCGCUUGUGACACUACGAACCUCUCGAACACCUGACGACUGGGCGCCAGGGCCGGAUGGAGGGUGGAGAGCCAGUGCGGCGCACCUGCCUCCUCUUAACGGGGACACCUUGCAGGAAUGUGCGGAGUGGAGCUAACGGGAGCGGAUAGAAACCGAGGGAGGGGAAGAGAGCGCGAAGGCUUGGCCGGAAGGGGAGGUUAAAAAGGAAAGGCCUAAAAUGGGGAAGAGAGUUACCACAACAAGCAGUACCUAGUUCCAGUUCUUGGUCCCAGGAGUUUGUGGUUGUUGCUGCUUUCAUCUUCCUCAGCCAACACAAAAGGAAAGUGCCAAGGGGCGAUUCCUAGGACCUUCAGUGCAGUCUCCACCUUGCGGACUUGGCUCAUUUGUGUCCACUCCUUUCUCCAGCCUUUUACACUUGAUGCUCUUGGAUGAAUAGAAAGGAGCACAAUUAAUGGAAAACACAAGCUUGGGAGUCAAGGGAUUUGGGUUCUAUUCUUGUCCUCCCUUGGUGACGACAUCAUUACCUUGGGUUAUUCAAGCUUUCAGUGCCAGAGUUCCUAUAUCAAUAAAAGAUUAUUACAUUGACCUCUUAGAGAAAUGUUUUCAUGGUACUGAAUUGCAAAUAAAGUAUGUGUAGCAAUGUGUUA
This is a long non-coding RNA of Gorilla gorilla gorilla (western lowland gorilla), 860 nucleotides long. RefSeq lists it as uncharacterized. The record is from RefSeq and is a predicted model, not a curated record. The transcript has 2 exons. NCBI's taxonomy places the organism in Eukaryota, Metazoa, Chordata, Mammalia, Primates, Hominidae.